GAAACAGAGGUGUCCAUGUCACAGACCUGG
This 30-nucleotide non-coding RNA is filed under the name Homo sapiens (human). Lineage: Eukaryota; Metazoa; Chordata; Mammalia; Primates; Hominidae. The record is from RNAcentral.